This 441-nucleotide ribosomal RNA is filed under the name uncultured bacterium. RNAcentral's name for it is "partial 16S ribosomal RNA". It matches the Rfam family "Bacterial small subunit ribosomal RNA", at positions 338 to 795 of the family's 1533-position model. The record is from RNAcentral.
CCUACGGGAGGCAGCAGUGGGGAAUCUUGCACAAUGGGGGAAACCCUGAUGCAGCGACGCCGCGUGAGUGCAGAAGUAUUUCGGUAUGUAAAGCUCUAUCAGCAGGGAAGCAGCAAGACGGUCCCUGACCAAGAAGCCACGGCCAACUACGUGCAAGCAGCCGCGGUAAUACGUAGGGGGCAAGCGGUGUCCGGAUUUACUGGGUGUAAAGGGGGCUUAGACGGUAUGGCAAGUCUGAAGUGAAAGCCCAGGGCUUAACCCUGGGACUGCGUUGGAAACUGUUAGACUAGUGUGCUGGAGAGGUAAGUGGAAUGCCUGGUGUAGCGGUGAAAUGCGUAGAUAUUAGGAGGAACACCAGUGGCGAAGGCGGCUUACUGGACAGUAACUGACGUUGAGGCUCGAAAGCGUGGGGAGCAAACAGGAUUAGAUACCCCAGUAGUC